GGGGCUGUAGCUCAGUUUGGGAGAGCGCCUGCAUGGCAUGCAGGAGGUCAGGGGUUCGAUCCCCCUCAGCUCCACCA
RNAcentral lists this transfer RNA (77 nucleotides) under Omnitrophica WOR_2 bacterium GWA2_47_8. Its description in RNAcentral is "tRNA-Ala". It matches the Rfam family "tRNA". From Rfam's summary of the family: Transfer RNA (tRNA) molecules are approximately 80 nucleotides in length. Their secondary structure includes four short double-helical elements and three loops (D, anti-codon, and T loops). Further hydrogen bonds mediate the characteristic L-shaped molecular structure. tRNAs have two regions of fundamental functional importance: the anti-codon, which is responsible for specific mRNA codon recognition, and the 3' end, to which the tRNAs corresponding amino acid is attached (by aminoacyl-tRNA synthetases). tRNAs cope with the degeneracy of the genetic code in two manners: having more than one tRNA (with a specific anti-codon) for a particular amino acid; and 'wobble' base-pairing, i.e. permitting non-standard base-pairing at the 3rd anti-codon position. The record is from RNAcentral. Lineage: Bacteria; Pseudomonadati; Candidatus Omnitrophota.